Molecule: ribosomal RNA, 301 nt
Filed under: uncultured bacterium
Lineage: Bacteria
Description: partial 16S ribosomal RNA
Rfam family: Bacterial small subunit ribosomal RNA
Source: RNAcentral
CAGUAGCCACGGUAAUACGGAGGGUGCAAGCGUUAUCCGGAUUUAUUGGGUUUAAAGGGUCCGUAGGCGGAUCUGUAAGUCAGUGGUGAAAUCUCACAGCUUAACUGUGAAACUGCCAUUGAUACUGCAGGUCUUGAGUAAAUUUGAAGUGGCUGGAAUAAGUAGUGUAGCGGUGAAAUGCAUAGAUAUUACUUAGAACACCAAUUGCGAAGGCAGGUCACUAAGAUUUAACUGACGCUGAUGGACGAAAGCGUGGGGAGCGAACAGGAUUAGAUACCCGAGUAGUCCCUGUCUCUUAUAC